Molecule: long non-coding RNA, 13944 nt
Organism: Homo sapiens (human)
Lineage: Eukaryota; Metazoa; Chordata; Mammalia; Primates; Hominidae
Exons: 4
Source: RefSeq, a predicted model, not a curated record
AGUCACGCGAGGCUGGCUUGCUGGAACCGGCUAGAAAAUGCAGCCCUGCCUGCCGCAGGGAUCUCCUCCGGUAUGGCCACACAUAUGAGUUCUGGCAAUGCCCAUUAGUGAUAUGGCCGAUAGUUUCUUCUGUCUUGCUUCCAGGAACCUUUUCUUGGUUUGAAGCCACCGAACCAGAAGAGAGAAUUUUUACCACUUUGAGGACUUCUUGUGACGAAUCCAAUGGGAAUUCCAUAAUAUUCAGAAACAAAACAUUUUGAGGGCCAACAAAUUAUUAAGCCCUUUGCUAGGUCUUAGAGAUACAAAGAUAAAGAAGACUGGAGUUUUCUUUUUAUUAUCUACCAGACUGAAGGCCACUGCCUGGGGACUUGAUCUAAGAGAAGAAAUAUCAGGAGACCUGGGUUUGGCUCCUGGCUCUGCCAGGUGAUCAUGGAGCAGUCACGUAUUAUCCCUGAGCUUCCGUUUCCUCAUCUACUUAAUUAGUGAUGGGUCUACAGGGCCUUGCUGGGGUCCACUUCUGACAUUCUGUGUUGAUAGUUGUCCGGAAAAGGAAGAGGAUGACACUGAUGACCAGCCGUCUUGGGUGGUUCACAGGCUCACUAAGGAGGCAGUGUUGAGCCUGACGGAUCUGUGAAGGCCCCUCCGACUUGUAACUGUAAAAUGAUGACUCUUGAUGGAACUCUACAGUUGUUGACACCUGGUGGGCCACCUACAGCUGAAGGUUCAAAGUGAUAAAACAAACCUGGUACGGAAAUAACUGAUUGUGGAACGCGAAGGACCUGUGAUCAUGCAAAGGUGACAGAGCAGGUAAAAUGUUUUGGACAAGAGGGAGAGAGUUUGCAGGUAAAGAACCUAUAAGGGGCAGAAAGAGGAAUGCAGGACACUUCGGGAUGUGGGUCACAUUUUGUCCUGGAAUCAGUACUUACCAGCUUAGUCUGAGGCCUUGGGACAGAAGUGCUGCUCAUAAAAGUAAAUUGUGUUUCUGCAAUGAAAUCUCUGAAACUUCAGGAGAAGAGCACUUGGUCAGCUUGCUUGGGGUUACUAGUUCAGUGGUGACAUACAAGUGUGUGUGUGUGUGUGUGUGUGUGUGCACGUGCAUGCGCAUAUUUGUGUGUUUAGACGGUGUGUGCUCACUGCUUCAGAGAGCAGUUUCAGGGCCAUCUGUUUUGAGCUCAGUGUGACUCCAGAUAACCAAGAGUAGGAAACAACUCUGGGGUGAUGAUGGCAGCAACAGUGACCUCAAAGUAAAGUGGUGAGUAUUUUUUUACUAUCUUCCCUGAUUGUGUGGGACCCUCAAAUAUUUCCCCAAUUAUUUCUGGGAAUCCUAAAGAGCUACCUCUUAAGUCCUCUAAGCAAAUUAUCUCAGCAGCCUGAGAAAAGGGACUUGCCAUUUUCCCUCUUCUCUGCCUCUGAAUCCAUUUGGUAAUUAUGGCCAAGAAGUCACAUGUAGACUGCAUUGCAGUGGGGUGUGGCUGAGAGGACUUGCUUUAGGGUGGAGCGAAGUAACAUGCUAUUAAUCUGUUCAUGUAACCAAGCAAUCUGUCUUUUAUUCUACAUAUUGUCACAUAGUCCAUAGAGCAUUCAAGGCCUGGAAAGAAAAGAACACUAACAACAAAACCAAAACAAGUAGACAAACAAAACAACUUCAAAAUACAGCUCCUGUUCUGUAGGAGCACAUAGUCCAUUGGAGGUCCACUUACACACACACACACACACACACACACACACAAGGGUGGUGUAAACAGUGGUGCUGGAGUCUCCUGAGAUUGUGCCCGGCAGCACGGCAUCAGGAAAGACCCCAUGGGAGCAGAAAUUUUGAGAUUGGAGCCCUAUUUUGAAGGAAGAGUAACAUUUGGACAGGUUCAGGUGAAAGGAGGGAGAACUUCCUAGGUAGAGAAGUGGCAUGUGGCAGGAACUUGCAUGGCGAGAAGCUGAAGCCAGCUGUUUGGUUGGUAGGAAGAUCAGUUUUCCAGGAGCAGGCAGUCAGUGUAGACAAUCCACACUGGCGAGGUAGCCUGGAGUUAGGCUGUGGAGGACUUUAAGGACAGUCUCAUUGGAUCUGGGGCCCACCCUAAUGCAGGAUUAUCUUAUUCCAAUCCUUACCUUAAUCAUGUCUGCAAAGAUGGCAUUUCCAAAUCAGGUCACAUUCUGAGGCUUUGGUGGAGGUGAAUUUUUGGGAGAUGUUAUUUAAUUCACUACAGAUGAGUUAAGAUUGGGGCUGAUUAUAAACUGCUAUAAUUGGGGUAACAAGGAAAGGCUUUUUGGAGGGAAUCAUAUUUGAGUUGAGACUUGACCAAGGACAAGGAAGAAGCCAUGUGAAUGUAAAUAAGCAGAAGGAACACCAACAGUCAAGACCUUAAGAUGACAAUAAGUUUAGUGUUUAGAAAGAAUGACAGCUUUUUUUGUCCUCUGUGAUGUGAAUUUUCUCCCUUGAAAUGGUGCUAAAGCAUUUAAGCCUAAAGAGACAAAAUAGGAGACAAUCUUGGAAUUGAAUCCACUCAAUCUGCCUGCUGCUCUUGCUAAGGUCAAGGCUGUGCUGUGGAUGAACAUGACCUCGACUGAAAGUAUUUGAAUGCUAUUGGUGCCCCAUGAAAUGAACUAAAUUAUUUCACGAUUCUCUUCCUCUGCUAAACUUUGUUCUCAGAAAUUAGAAGCCCAGAAAAGUAGCUCACACUCAGUAUUCAAACUCUCAUUGCAAUGGAAGCAGCAUUGCAGAAUUUAUUUAGUGCAGAGAGUUGGGAAAUUUGGGUUUUAAAUCCCAACUUUAACAGUGGCCAACCAUGCCUUUUAGGUAAGUCUCUUUACCUCUCUAGGCCUCAGUUUUCCUCAUCUGUAAGGCAAUGUUGGACCAGGUCAUGUGAGGGCUGAGGCAGAGUGGGACCCUUCCAACUCUGGCUUCCUAGCUUCACAGAAUGCCCCAGGAAUUGUCUGGCCUUCGCAGGAUCUUCCCAGAGUUCAUGGACACAUUUGGCUCUUGGGUAGCCAAGGCUCUGAGUGUAGAAUAGUAAAACCAAUAUGCAUGAGGGUACUUGUGAAUACACUCCCACCUAAACUUGACCUCUAAUGUGAGGCCCAGUUUCUGAGUGUGGAUUUACAAAGGCUUUCCUCUGUACACUUCUCCUUGCACCUGGAGAAUCUGCUUGUGGACUUUCAGAUCUACCAACUACCUUCCACAGAGCUCUCUGAGACAGGGAAGGAAAACCAGGCUUUACAGCUAGACCAGGACUUUGUUAAUAAGACGAUUGUUCACAGCUAUAUGUUUACCACAACCUCUUUUAGCUUUGCCUGUAAUUACCUUGGCCCUAUGCACUGAAGAAUCUGUCUGCACUGCAGCGGGACUCUUAAGUUCCCAUUGAUUCUGAGUAAGUCCCAAAUAUAUUUUUAUUCUGUCCUCUGGUAUUCUGCUGAGCAGAGGGCAGAGUGUCUCUUUCCUGCUCUGUGCAGGAGGUGAUGAGCUCCUUGAGUGGUUCUGCUACUAGCUCACUGGUGACCUGGUGACCAUCUCAUUCUAGUCGGCCCAGGACAAUCCCAGCUUGAAAAUGGAAAAUUCUGGAUCCUGGAAAACCCCUCAGUCUUGAGCAAACUGGGAGAUUGGCACUCUACAGCAGUGCAUCAGGGUUGCUCGGAGUCCAGUAACAAAUUUGGAGACUAAGACGGUGGCUCACGCCUAUACUCCCAGCACUUUGGAAGGCCAAGGUGGGCAGAUCACCUAAGGUCGGGAGUUCAAGACCAGCCUGUCCAACAUGGAGAAACCCCAUCUCUACUAAAAACACAAAAUUAGCUGGGUGUGGUGGCACAUGCCUGUAAUCCCAGCUACUCGGGAGGUUGCGGUGAGUGGAGAUCGCGCCAUUGCACUCUAGCCUGGGCAACAAGAGCGAAACUCUGUCUCAAAAAAAAGAAAAAAAAUAAACUGGAGACAAAGCAUUAAUCCUAACAGAAGGCAAUGCAGAUCCACAGGCAGUGCCACGGAGCCAGCUGUGAGCCCUGCUACUGCUCCCUUCUCCCAAGGCAUCCCCCUGCAAGGCUGCACAACGCUAUGCUGAGCACGGGGAGUCUCUGGACGCCUCUGCCUAGCUGCUUGACUGGAAAUCUACCCACAUUUAGAUUUUCUAGUAAUACUCACUCUAUUUUUCUUAAGAGACCCUGGCUGACUAAAACAAUAUAUAGCAACAUAAUACAUUCUGUAAGGAAAAUCAGUAGGAAUUCCUCACUCUGAAAAACAUCUUUACUGGCUCUGUCACAAAAUAGGCCCUAAGUGGCGGUAGUGAAAGGACCAGCAUUUCUCUUCACUGCUGAUGCACAGGUGAGAAGCUUGAAUUGUGAUUUCUGAUGCUAUUCUUUUCUCAAAGCAAUCAAAUUUUCUUGGAAGUUAGUUAAUUGCAGUCUUAGGGAAAAAAAAAGCGAGGAUGGCUUGGAACAUCUUUUUGUUGUGGACUGAAAAAAAGGAGUGUUCGAGAAUAUCAGAGGCAGUACUUAAAGGAGUUUUUGCUAGCCCCACUGUGAAAAUGUGAACAUCAAAUAAAAGGCAAUCACGGCUUCAUUAAUGCAAGUUGUUUUUGUGAAAGGCUAUGAGUUUGGUAUAAUACUCUAAUGAGAUAAGUGUAUAAAAACAUAGCUAUCAUACAAAAAGAGGUGAAUAUAACAGACAAGCAAAUUAGUAUACGUAGAUAUUCUGGCUUUUAAAAAAUAUUAAGUAUAUGUCUGUUUUAAAAUAUUGAUUUGUAUUUGUUUCGUUCUGCACAAGCAGGAGAGAAUAAACUGAGGGACCUGAGAGUCAGCCAUGACGCCCCUGGAGAAGUCUGUUUCAGGAGCAGGAGGGAUUCCUCGGCAUUGUGCCAUUUAAUAAUUAGAAAGGAAUGGGGCUCAAGAGAUCAGGAGUAGCAGGAGAGCUCCACAGUUGUACCCCGCCCUGAUGAAUUAUUCAGUAUUCUAAGGAGGGAGGUCAUCUUUCAUUUCUUAAGAGAUGAAAUCUCAACAUGGCUCCACUAAUGAGAAGCAACUACUACUAAAGAAAGUGUUCUUUUUUUUUUUUUUUUUUUUUUUUUCCCGAGACAGAGUCUUACUCUGUCACCCAGGCUGGAGUGCAGUGGCGCCAUCUUGACUCACUGAAACCUCCACCUCCCGGGUUCAAGUGAUUCUCCUGCCUCAGCCUCCCGAGUAGCUGGGAUUACAGGCACCUGCCAUCAUGCCCAGUUAAUUUUUGUAUUUUUGGUAGAGAUGGGGUUUCACCACGUUGGUCAGGCUGGUCUCAAUCUCCUGACCUCAGGUAAUCUGCCCGCCUUGGCCUCCCAAAGUGUAGGGAUUACAGGCGUGAGCCACCAUGCCUGGCCACAUUCAUUUUUAAGAAGGCUAACAGAUCAGGCCAAUAUAUCAAAAUUAAAGAAUAAUGCAUGAAUGCAUCAGGACAUGCAAAUUUAAUGAACACUUUAUUUCUGGGAAAGAAAAGUCAUGCAAAAAUGAAAUAGCUAUGAAAGUCAGGGACAUCAGAAUGCCACGUGGUGAAAAGAGGACUAUAUUAGGUAUCUAUUGCAGUGCAACAGAUUAUCCCCAAAACUUAGUGGAAAAGGGAGAAAGAGAAGGACAAGAAAAAGAAAAUCAAAUAGCUGCUCUGGUGGCCUAGGAAUGUUGCCUAAUAUCAAAACAAGGAACAAGGGAGGCCAAACCCUCAGGAUAUUUCAGGGCAAGAGAUGAUUGUGGCGGCCAGGCAUGGUGCUUUUUAAAGCUCCCAGGUGAUUGUGUCAGGCGUCAGGGUUGGGAAGCUUUAUUCCAGAGUGUGACUUGCCAAUCUACAUUUACUUUAGUCACAGUCAACAUGGUUAGUAGAGGUGUUGGGGGUGUAUAAUGAACACUCACCGAGCAUCAGUGAUGAAUCAGGUUCUGUGCUAGGGCUCUUUUGUAUAUUUCCUCAUUGAUUCCUCACCAUAGCCCCGGGCGAGCACACAGCACAACUGUAUUAUCACCAUUUAUAGAGGCAGGAACAGAGGCUAGAAAAGUUUAGUAAACUGAGACUUUCUCCUCCUCAUGAAGGAAAAUGGUGAGCAGUGGGCUGCAGAAAACAGUGUUUGGACUUAGAAAGCAGUGCCCCAAAGGAAGCACAAGUUUUGCCCUGACCUUAUCCUGCCCUCCUGUCUCAGUCCCAGUCUCCACCUAGGCUAGCCAUGGAAACUAGAAUCUUCGAGGUGAGUCAUAGAAACCAGGACCCCCUUUCUCCAAAGCCAGCCAUAAAACCUAAAAAUAUUACUCUGACAUUCCCCUGCCUUUCUGCGUAAAAACUGGCCACAAAGAAAUUAUCUGGCCUACUUUGUUUGACUGUAGGUCAUAAGACCCCCAUUCCAGUGAGGGUCCUGCCCAUAACCAGAAGGAAGGAAUGCUGAACAGAGGCCAAGAGGAACCUAGGCAGACAGGCCUUGCUGGAUCCCCACUCAGUCUAUUAGCGUUAGAUUAUAGCCUUUUUGUCGAAUCAUAUUUCUACAUGGCUGUCCAUACUUAAUUGAACCUAAGCUAUCAUACUUUGUUGAACAUGGACAAUUUCUUUGCAUCUUUGGGUCUUCAUUCUGAAGGCUCUCGUGUACACAUUAACAAUAAAUUGCAUGCCUUUUCUCCUAUUAAUCUACCUCUUGUCUGUGAUUUUCAGUAAACCUUCAGAGGACAAAGGGGAAAUUUUCACUUGGACCUCACAAGGACGAGGUUCAACCAGGGGGAGCAAUGAUGGGUGCUGGAAGGGGAAGUGAUGGGGGUGGGAGGGUAGAGGAGGGAAGAUCUCUAGGCUUAAAUCCAAGGCUGGGAUGUAAAUGUGGAGCUCUUUCUCCUUCUUUGCCCUUGGAACGUGGUGCUGUGGCUCUGAUAAGCUCCUACUGGGUGUUGAGUAACUUUGUGUGACAAGAGUAGAGAAACUGAGAAGAAGAGGCCCAGGAAGAAGGGUCAGGAAAUGCAGAUUUCAGGUCACUGAAGAGGCCAGGCCAGUGAGGACAGGGAUGAUCCUAUGGAACACGUCAAUGCUGCUCCAGGAGCAAAAAGAUCAUCUCAGGAUGGGGAGAAACUGGGUGCCUGGAGGCUUCAGGUUGCUGUUGUCAGCAGUUAUUGGAAAAUGUUUUAAAGCAAAUAUGCACAUGCCCACUCACCCAUGCACACACAUCUGCUUCUAGAAACAAACUGAAUUUCUUUGCUACAACAAAGUGGUCUCAUUACUUUAUUUACGUGGAAAAUGACAUAGAGAAUUCCCUCCCCAUAAGAGCUGCAAGUUCACCUUGAAAUGCAAAGUGAUUGAUUGUGCUACACCCACUUAGUUUCUCCUUUUCUGAACGUUUGACAUCAUUCAGUCUUUGCUGAUAGGGAAUCCUGCAGCUGUGUAUCUCCUCAUGUGGCCUCAAAAGCAUACCUGUUGGGGCCAUUACUUUACUCUGGUAAUUUGUAAGGCAUCUUGUGCUACCCUGGUAAAUGACUUGGGAAAGCCAUUGGUGCCCAAAGAAUGACUGAAAUCAGGAGCCAAGACAAACUUGGAAAUAUGGGCAUGGUGCUGGGUAACAAAUGAAAAUAAAGGAAACAAACCGACCACAAAAUCAACCUCAAAUGCCCUGCAUUGUGCCUUAGAGGCAAUGAAAUAGUAGUGCUGGCUUCCUAAAACAGGAACCCUUCACCAAGCAAGAACUGCGCAUUUCAGAGGCUGCAAGGUGCUCUUCUAAAUCACAAAAGAAGCAAGUGGAAGUGAGGUCAUUGUUAGAGGUCUGAGUUUGGGGUUAGAACAAGCCCGUGUCUAUGAUACUAGGCUUAGGCCUUAAGGAUGUUUCAAGACCUAGAGAGCUGUGCUUGGCUAGACCUUGUUGCCUCUCAUCACCGAAGCUAUUCCCAAGUACCACAGGCCCCUCUGGGAAAUUAAUGAUGGUUGGAGAGGAAGCCAGCUCCACAGUCAAGCUGGGGGCAUUUGAAGAGCCCAAGGUGAGGAAAUAAGGGAGCGUAUGAAUUAAAGAAGCAGAGUUUUUGCUUGGGUUCUGAUCUCUGAGGCAGUAUGUGGCUCAGAUAAAAACUCUGUGGAGCUAUUUCCUAUGCUGGAUGGAGUUCUCUCUCACAAUAGGAAAGCUUUAAGUACUGAAUGUAAAGUUCUCUAUCAGCUAUCUGGUGAAUCUCUCCUAUGCACAGUGUUGUAAUAUAUCCAGGUGAGAGGUGGAGCCCAAGGAGUGUCAUACAGGCUGGUUAUUCGUUUCCAGAAAAAACAGGUAAGAAUAUUUUUGUUUAAGAUGAAAAUCAAUGAAAGGCCUUUCUUAAGGGUUAUGGACUGAAUAUUUGUAUCUCCCCCUCCCCAAGCUUAUAUGUUGAAGCCCUAAUCCCCAGUGUGAGGGUAUUUGGAGAUGAAAUUUAUUGGGAGGUAAUUAGGGUUAGAUUAGGGCAUGAAAUUAGGGUCCUCAUGAUGGGAUGAAUGGCUUUAUAAGAAGAGGAAGAGAGAGAGGAAAAGGCCAUAUGGGACUUAAUGAGAAGGCAGCUGUCUGAAGCCAGGAGGAGAGACUUCACCAGAACCUGACCAUGCUGGCACCCUCAUCUUGUGUCCAGCCUCCAGAACUAUGAAAAAAUCAGCUUCUGUUGUUUAAGUCCCCAGUCUGUGGUAUUUUGUCAUGGCAUGCAAGCUGACUAGACAUUAAGUAUCCACCUUUGCUCAUGCUGGCCUGGGCUGUACUGAGAACAUCUAUCUUUUCAUUGACUUUAUCUGUCCCCAAAUGGAAUAUUCCUUCCCUAUGAUUGUGGCUUCUCCAGUGGGGAUCAGAUGGCCAGUCUAGUAGCAGGUAGGGUGGCAUCACAGGAAACUGACAUUUUGUAGGUCAAAAGUUAUAAAAAAAAAAAAAAGCCAUUGAAAAUUGCUGCCAUUUGGCCUAUAAAGUGGCUUUUCCAUGCAGUUGUAACAUACCUGGUAUUGUGUAUCUAGGUGUUGUGGGUGCCAAAAAUGUAAGAAGCACUUUUGUCUGCAGAAGAUUUAUAUUAUACCAGGAUUCAGCAAACUAUGACCCAUGGGCCAAGUCUGACCCAUCACUGGUAUUCGUAGUCUUCCUGGAACACAGCCACACCCACUUGUUUACUUAUUGUCUAUGGCUGUCUUCAUGCUACACCACCAGAGCUGAGUAGCUGAGCAAAGACUGCACCACCCACAAAACUUAAACUAUUUACCAUGUGACUGGUUAGAGAAAAAGUUUUCUGAGCCCUGCAUUACACAGUGUAAGUGUAAUGCAAGUGUAAUGCAAGUAAGACUCAAUGAUCACGCAUAAACACUGCCAUUUUUCUUAUUGCAAUUUCACACAUCUCCUACCUUACCUUUCUUACCUUUCAUCACUAUUUUUUUCACUCCUCUACUUGUUUGAAUUUCCAAAGUCUCUCCUUUCCCCACUCUUCAUGAUUCCUGCUUGUUUCUGGCCCCCAUUCCUUUCUACUCUCUUCUGUUUGCUUUUCCUUCUUCUCUUGAUUGGCUUCUGCUCUCCCAUCCUUGCCCAUCUCUUCCCACCUCUUCAUUCUCUUCUUCUUCCACUUUGUUCCUUCCUCUUUUCCUCUGUGCCUCCUCCAUGGAACUGGUUGGAUUCUUUGACUUAGGAUGGAUGGAUUGACUCACCUUCUCACCAUUCACGGCGGCCUUUCUGGCCCACACACAAUCUUGUGUAGAUUUUCCUCUUUAGAUCUUAUGUUUCUCUGAGGCAGGACUGAUAUUUAACUGGUAAGGAAGGUAGCCUUGUAAGAAUCGAUGUUUAUUUAGACUGUCUGCUCUGAUUGGUCAGUGUUGAAUUUUUUGCAAAUCAUUCUUGCCAUCAGAUCAUCUGUCUCAACCAGCCAGACAGCUCAAAAUUUAGAAAUGUUGCCCAGAUAUCUUUCUCUUAGAGACUCUAUGAAUUCCUGUUUGUGGGCUCAGCCUCUGGGGUUUUAAUGAGGCUCUUGUUGUUUUUAUAUCAUUGUGAGGCAGUGUCUAGAAUUCAGAAAUUAAGUCCAUUCAAAAUUAGGAUGGGUGUGUGUGCUGGGUGGUGCCUUUCUUCCCACAAAGCAAUGUGUUUUGAAUCUAAGAUAUUCUGUGGUCAAAUGCUUCUCAGAAGCAUGUACCAGUGGCUGCUAAAGACUUUCUUAUGCAAUACUGCUGAAAAAUACACCAAAAAACUGGGUAGUGUGGAGUCAUUUCUAAGCAAUUAUCAGUGAUACACCAAGCCUUGUCACACCACUCAUCAUUGAUGCCAGACUGACAAAAGACCUUAAAUUUCAGGGUUAUUAACCAUCACCCCAACCCAUGAUUGAAUUGAGAGGAAAUAGCCCCAGCACACAGCAGCCACAGACUUUGCUUGGCUUUGAAGAAUGUUGCCUAGAAUAUAUUUUAGUGACAAAGACUUGGCUGCAUUUACCAAUUUUUUCUUUUCUUUUUUUCUUUUUUUUAAGAGACAAGGUCUUCCCAUGUUGCCCAGGCUGGACUCAAACUCUUAGGCUCCAGGGAUCCUCCCACCUUGGCCUCCCAAGUAGCUGGCUGGGACUACAGGCACAUGUCACCAUGACUGACUUUGUCUAAAAUUUGAAUUUAUUCACCCUAAUUACUUUUCUUUCUCUUUAAAAUGUUCUUGUUAAAGCUGUGCUCCCUUUUUUCCAUGGUGAGUAUGGCAAUUCUGAUUUCUGUAUAUUUUUAAAACUUGUGGACAAACCACUUCAUCAUUGUAUCUAACAAUAAAAGUCAUAGGCCGGGUGCGGUGUCUCACGCCUGUAAUCCCAGCACUUUGGGAGGCCGAGGCAGGCGGAUCACGAGAUCAGGAGAUCGAGACCAUCCUGGCUAACAUGGUGAAACCCCAUCUCUACUAAAAAUACAAAAAAUUGGCCGGGUGUGGUGGCGGGCACCAGUAGUCCCAGCUACUCAGGAGGCUGAGGCAGGAGAAUGGCGUGAACCCAGGAGGCGGAGCUUGCAGUGAGCCAAGAUCGUGCCACUACACUCCAGCCUGGGUGACAGAGCGAGACUCCACCUCAAAAUAAAAUAAAAUAAAAAUAAAAGUCAUAAACUUGCUAUGGAAAAAACAGAAGGAGAUUUAGCCAAACAAUGUGUAAUAGACAUUUGUUGGUUGAUGCUGUAGCUUCUGUUAUUUUCUUCCUAGCAGCCCUCAUUGGAGUUUGGGAAUCCAUUUGGCUCUAUGGAAUCUGAUUCUACCUGGGGCUCCAGGGGUGGAACAUGUGACCCAGACCAGCACAUUUGGCUCCCCAGCCAUGUGGUUGGCCAUGGGUGGACAUAUGACCAAGCAAAUCCAAUUAGAGUGAAUCCCAGGACUUUUGCUUGGAAUUCUAGAACAAAAACCUUCUUUCUUUCCUGCUGGAUGUAAAUGAGAAAGCACACAGCUCAGGGACCUCUUGGUGAACAUCUUGGAACUAUGAACAAUAUUGGGCAGAGAUUAGACAAAAGGAAACUAGGUGCUCAGUGAAAAUGUUGAGCUGUUGGACCAUGCCUCAACUGAAACCUCUGGACUUUACACUUGUAAGAGCCAAUAAAUUCCUUUACUUAUUCAAGUCAAAUUGGGUUGGGUUCUCCAUCACUCGCAAUCAAAAGAUUUCUAGCUUAGGCACAGGACCAUUGAAUAAUGAUCAUAGGCAUAGAAACAAGAGACCAAAGACUGGGUACUAGUGUCUGCUCCAUGCCAACUAACUAAGACCUUCAACGGGUCUUUAUCCUCUCCUCUGUGGGCCUCAGUCUCUAAUAUACAGAAAGGAAGUAUAAAAUUGGGCUUGGUGCCUUCUGAGAUGUUUUAGAUUUAAGAAUCUCUGAGUUCAACCCUCAUCUUGAUCCAUUGCAAACCAGCUCUCCGUUUGCCAUUUCUGUCAAUGGCCCAUCACACUCCCAGCCUCUGGAUAGAAACUUCGAAGUUGUCACUGUAUCCAACUCCAACUCCAUCUCUCCUCACCAACUCCAACUCCAACUCCUCUCUCCUCAUUAUCUCCUAUAUCUGCUCCGUUACCAAGGCUUGUCAGUUCUUCUUUCUAAAUAUCCCUUUUAAUCUUUCCCUCCUUCCCAUUCUUGUGAACAUUAUUCAUGUCCAGGCCUUCAUCCACUUGCUACAUCUCCCUACAGUUCCUAAUCCCUUGAAUCCAUCUUCCUCAUUCCUGCCAAAUUAAUAUCUUCAAACAGACUUUUAAAAAUUACAGGAGCCCCACGAUGGAAAAAUAAAGUCUAUACUGCUCAGGAGGCCUUCUGUGUGCUCCAUUCAUUGCAGCCAUCCUGGCUUUUUAACAUGGGUUACUUUUAUAGCCUUGAUUGAAACACAGAAAGAGGACUGUUUUUGUUUGUUUGUUUGUUUUUGAGGGUAUUUGGAAAGGACUUUUUCAGGAAGUACUGGAGGCUUAUAUAGUAAAUCUGUUGUUGCUGGGCCCAAGUUGUAAGGGAAUACAUGUUGGUGAAUGAAGCAUGGCAGCCUCAGAGCUAACAACCUAGGGCCCCAUGAGCACUGCAUCUUCUACAAACUCCCUCAGAUGAGUGUGCCCUGGAAAGUGUGUGGCACUUUUAGGUGUUAAAUACACUUAAUAAAGCAAGAUAUAUCUUAUAUGUGGUUGACUGUGAAACGAUGGGCAUUUUAAACAUUUGUGACUUUAACAUAACCAAAACAGAUAUUGGUUAAUGUCUAACUGCUAUUCUUUUUAAAGCGUAUAUUAAUGUAUCAAGUAUAUAUUUUACUAGGACACUCUGUAGUAGGUAGCCAUGAAAAAAGUGACUGUUGACUUAUUAUCUUCUUGGAGUUAUUGCUGGAUUAAGAGGAGACAUUCUCUGUUUUUUUUCUUUUCUUAUUUUUAAUAACAGAAACUCUGGCCCAUGAAGGCCUGUGUGCUCUGAGAGAAUGUGCUGAGCCGGCCUUGUUUUUCUCCUGUUUCCCGUGACAGGGCGCUCCUCCCCACAGGACUUGCCAAGUCCUCAUGCACGUUGAGUCAACAUUUUGGAUAUGAGCUCAUUACAUGGGAAAAAGAGUUUAAACACCAGCUCAACAUGCAAGUGUACUAUGGGCUCUUUCCUGUCAAUGUUUCAGUUCAAAUUUCCUGAAGCUUGGAAAAUUGCAUGUAUUCGUACAAUAUCUCAGCAUUCUCCCUCUGGCCUGAAGUGAGGCAGUUGGCUUCCUGCUGUAGACUAAACAAAUGAAUAAAAGAUUCAUGCCAUGUAUAUAGUGUAUCUACAGCUUUAGGCAUUGUCUAUUUUACUGACUGCCUUGUGGGUGUACUUAUGUGUACAAUGGCCCAUUGUGCUAAUCCAGUGGUCAGAAUAAGAAUUAACAUUCUUGAAAACCACUUCAGCUGGUCAAUUUUGAUUUCAGCUAGCAAUCAAGUCAAUUUGAACAUCUAAAAGAACUAGAUAUAGUUAUUUUCUUUAUAUUCAUGGGGGAAGGAGGGGAUCUAGAAGUGAAUUAAGCUUCUUUGAGGAAUUAGGGUCAGGAAAAAACAGGUAAGAGAUGAGAAGAAGAUAAGAAUGACCCUAAAACUUAAAGUAUAAUUAAAAAAAAAAAAAAAGAAUGACUUGGGAAGAGAGAUUGGGAGAUAAAUGGUGAAUGGGGGUAAAGAUGGAACUUAAUCUUCACUUCAUUGUCAUGUCACAGACCAGACAUUAGUACCCACUGAGUACUCCCUUAUUCUUCUCUCUGGGGGAAUAUUUAGCCCAGAAUGUCGUGAGUACCCCAGGCAGAUGUUCAUUAUCUAAUUGGUGCUUGAAUAACUGAAUUUGACUUUUUGUGUGUGUUGCCCUAACCUGAAUCCCUUAGACACUGAUAGUAGAACUGUGGAGAAGUAUCCCUGGAGAUGACCCACAAUCUCAAGAAGGCUGAAGAGGAGAGGAAGAGAAUGGAUAAAUCGAAACAAGUGUUUAGAUGAUCAAGGCCUUAUAAGCCAUACCGCCAUGUAAGACGUGCCAUUCACCUUCCACCAUGAUUGUGAGGCUUCCCCUGCCAUGUGGAACUGUGAGUCCAUUAAACCUCUUUU